Molecule: ribosomal RNA, 441 nt
Filed under: uncultured bacterium
Lineage: Bacteria
Description: partial 16S ribosomal RNA
Rfam family: Bacterial small subunit ribosomal RNA
Source: RNAcentral
CCUACGGGUGGCAGCAGUGGGGAAUAUUGCACAAUGGGGGAAACCCUGAUGCAGCAACGCCGCGUGAGUGAGGAAGUAUUUCGGUAUGUAAAGCUCUAUCAGCAGGGAAGAGAAUAGCGGGUACCUGAAAAAGAGGCCCCGCCUAACUACGUGCCAGCGGCCGCGGUAUACGGUAGGGGGCAAGCGUUAUCCGGAUUGACUGGGGGUAAAGGGAGCGUAGACGGUAAGGCAAGUCAGAAGUGAAAACCCAGGGCUCAACCAAGGGACUGCUUUUGAAACUGUCCAACUCGAGUACGGGAGAGGUAAGAGGAAUUCCUAGUGUAGCGGUGAAAUGCGUAGAUAUUAGGAGGAACACCAGGGGCGAAGGCGUCUUACUGGACCGAAACUGACGUUGAGGCUCGAAAGCGUGGGGAGCAAACAGGAUUAGAUACCCCGGUAGUC